UACGAAGGGGGCUAGCGCUGUUCGGAAUUACUGGGCGUAAAGCGCGUGUAGGCGGGCCGUUAAGCAGGGGGUGAAAGACCAGAGCUCAACUCUGGAAUUGCCUUCGAUACUGGCGGCCUGGAGCAUGAUAGAGGCGAGUGGAAUUGCGAGUGUAGAGGUGUAAUUCGUAGAUAUUCGCAGGAACACCAGUGGCGAAGGCGACUCGCUGGAUCAUUGCUGACGCUGAGACGAGAAAGCGUGGGGAGCAAACAGG
RNAcentral lists this ribosomal RNA (253 nucleotides) under uncultured bacterium. RNAcentral describes it as "partial 16S ribosomal RNA". It matches the Rfam family "Bacterial small subunit ribosomal RNA", at positions 524 to 776 of the family's 1533-position model. The record is from RNAcentral.